CCUACGGGAGGCAGCAGUGAGGAAUAUUGGUCAAUGGACGCAAGUCUGAACCAGCCAUGCCGCGUGCAGGAAGACGGCUCUAUGAGUUGUAAACUUCUUUUGUACGAGGGUAAAUCCCGAUACGUUUAUCGUGUUGAAAGUAUCGUACGAAUAAGGAUCGGCUAACUCCGUGCCAGCAGCCGCGGUAAUACGGAGGAUUCAAGCGUUAUCCGGAUUUAUUGGGUUUAAAGGGUGCGUAGGCGGUUCGAUAAGUUAGAUGUGAAAUCCCGGGGCUCAACUCCGGCACUGCCUCUGAUACUGUCGGGCUAGAGUUUAGUUGCGGUAGGCGGAAUGUAUGGUGUAGCGGUGAAAUGCAUAGAGAUCAUACAGAACACCGAUUGCGAAGGCAGCUUACCAAACUACGACUGACGUUGAGGCACGAAAGCGUGGGGAGCAAACAGGAUUAGAUACCCUUGUAGUC
RNAcentral lists this ribosomal RNA (460 nucleotides) under uncultured bacterium. Its description in RNAcentral is "partial 16S ribosomal RNA". It matches the Rfam family "Bacterial small subunit ribosomal RNA", at positions 338 to 795 of the family's 1533-position model. The record is from RNAcentral.